Molecule: long non-coding RNA, 640 nt
Organism: Mugil cephalus (flathead mullet)
Lineage: Eukaryota; Metazoa; Chordata; Actinopteri; Mugiliformes; Mugilidae
Exons: 3
Source: RefSeq, a predicted model, not a curated record
CCAGCAACAGCCAGGGACAGACUGCAAGGAGUGAAGGUCAAGGUUGGAUUAACUUUACUUGGUGUGUGCCAUGCCUAGGAGGUGAUUGGUAGGAAGGCCCUGGUCAUUGGCCACAGCAGGGAGUCACCUGUGCAUAUAAGAAGCCAAGAUGGUGGACCAGAGCUGGCAGCAGGCAUUCCUCCUUUCUCAACCGGCCACAGCUUUUGCACGCAUCAACAUGAACCCAUCUGACAGGAUGAACAUGAACCCAUGUGUCAGAGCCUUACUCGAACUACACAGUGUUCAAAACAGCUAUUGUGAGAGAGUUCUUGAAGAAGCGACAUAAUGAAUCACUAGUGUCUGACGACAAUGACAGAAAGGACACUAAAUUCCAAAUAAAUACGAGAUUAUUAUUCACUAUUGCUGCAUGGCAUUAAUAAAGAUGCAUCACAUAAGUCAGAAUUAAUGUUUGCUUGUUUGACUGAACGUGUGGUGAUUGAACGCAUGCAUAUCUUUGUCUCGUUUACGUGGGGGCAUCACGCCACGUCUCUUGAUGCAUCAAUGACAUGUUCAGUGAGUGUGUGUGCUCUGCAGCAGCUUGUUGGGCUGAGUUGUAAAGCCUUGUCCCCAGCUCGUCCUGCCUUUAUGUGGCCCAGACAAU